UACGAAGGGGGCUAGCGUUGCUCGGAAUUACUGGGCGUAAAGGGCGCGUAGGCUGUUUGGUUAGUUAGGCAUGAAAUUCCUGGGCUCAACCUGGGGGCUGCGCUUAAUACAGCCAGACUAGAGUGUGAAAGAGGGUCGUGGAAUUCCCAGUGUAGAGGUGAAAUUCGUAGAUAUUGGGAAGAACACCGGUGGCGAAGGCGGCGACCUGGUUCAUUACUGACGCUGAGGCGCGAAAGCGUGGGGAGCAAACAGG
RNAcentral lists this ribosomal RNA (253 nucleotides) under uncultured bacterium. RNAcentral's name for it is "partial 16S ribosomal RNA". It matches the Rfam family "Bacterial small subunit ribosomal RNA", at positions 524 to 776 of the family's 1533-position model. The record is from RNAcentral.